Molecule: ribosomal RNA, 220 nt
Filed under: uncultured bacterium
Lineage: Bacteria
Description: partial 16S ribosomal RNA
Rfam family: Bacterial small subunit ribosomal RNA
Source: RNAcentral
UAAGCAAUCUGCCCAUCGGCCUGGGAUAACAGUUGGAAACGACUGCUAAUACCGGAUAGGUGAUGAAGAGGCAUCUCUCGAUCAUUAAAGUUGGGAUACAACACGGAUGGAUGAGCUUAUGGCGUAUUAGCUAGUAGGUGAGGUAACGGCUCACCUAGGCGAUGAUACGUAGCCGACCUGAGAGGGUGACCGGCCACAUUGGGACUGAGACACGGCCCAA